Molecule: ribosomal RNA, 2900 nt
Filed under: Klebsiella pneumoniae MGH 66
Lineage: Bacteria; Pseudomonadati; Pseudomonadota; Gammaproteobacteria; Enterobacterales; Enterobacteriaceae
Description: bacterial LSU rRNA
Rfam family: Bacterial large subunit ribosomal RNA
Source: RNAcentral
UUAAGCGACUAAGCGUACACGGUGGAUGCCCUGGCAGUCAGAGGCGAUGAAGGACGUGCUAAUCUGCGAAAAGCGUCGGUAAGGUGAUAUGAACCGUUACAGCCGGCGAUGUCCGAAUGGGGAAACCCAGUGCAAUUCGUUGCACUAUCGUUAACUGAAUACAUAGGUUAACGAGGCGAACCGGGGGAACUGAAACAUCUAAGUACCCCGAGGAAAAGAAAUCAACCGAGAUUCCCCCAGUAGCGGCGAGCGAACGGGGAGCAGCCCAGAGUCUGAAUCAGCUUGUGUGUUAGUGGAACGGUCUGGAAAGUCCGACGGUACAGGGUGAUAGUCCCGUACACCAAAAUGCACAGGCUGUGAACUCGAAGAGUAGGGCGGGACACGUGGUAUCCUGUCUGAAUAUGGGGGGACCAUCCUCCAAGGCUAAAUACUCCUGACUGACCGAUAGUGAACCAGUACCGUGAGGGAAAGGCGAAAAGAACCCCGGCGAGGGGAGUGAAAAAGAACCUGAAACCGUGUACGUACAAGCAGUGGGAGCACCUUCGGGUGUGACUGCGUACCUUUUGUAUAAUGGGUCAGCGACUUAUAUUCUGUAGCAAGGUUAACCGUAUAGGGGAGCCGCAGGGAAACCGAGUCUUAACUGGGCGUUAAGUUGCAGGGUAUAGACCCGAAACCCGGUGAUCUAGCCAUGGGCAGGUUGAAGGUUGGGUAACACUAACUGGAGGACCGAACCGACUAAUGUUGAAAAAUUAGCGGAUGACUUGUGGCUGGGGGUGAAAGGCCAAUCAAACCGGGAGAUAGCUGGUUCUCCCCGAAAGCUAUUUAGGUAGCGCCUCGUGAAUUCAUCUUCGGGGGUAGAGCACUGUUUCGGCUAGGGGGUCAUCCCGACUUACCAACCCGAUGCAAACUACGAAUACCGAAGAAUGUUAUCACGGGAGACACACGGCGGGUGCUAACGUCCGUCGUGAAGAGGGAAACAACCCAGACCGCCAGCUAAGGUCCCAAAGUCAUGGUUAAGUGGGAAACGAUGUGGGAAGGCACAGACAGCCAGGAUGUUGGCUUAGAAGCAGCCAUCAUUUAAAGAAAGCGUAAUAGCUCACUGGUCGAGUCGGCCUGCGCGGAAGAUGUAACGGGGCUAAACCAUGCACCGAAGCUGCGGCAGCGACACUAUGUGUUGUUGGGUAGGGGAGCGUUCUGUAAGCCUGCGAAGGUGUGCUGUGAGGCAUGCUGGAGGUAUCAGAAGUGCGAAUGCUGACAUAAGUAACGAUAAAGCGGGUGAAAAGCCCGCUCGCCGGAAGACCAAGGGUUCCUGUCCAACGUUAAUCGGGGCAGGGUGAGUCGACCCCUAAGGCGAGGCCGAAAGGCGUAGUCGAUGGGAAACAGGUUAAUAUUCCUGUACUUGGUGUUACUGCGAAGGGGGGACGGAGAAGGCUAUGUUAGCCGGGCGACGGUUGUCCCGGUUUAAGCAUGUAGGCUGGUUAUCCAGGCAAAUCCGGAUAAUCAAGGCUGAGGUGUGAUGACGAGGCACUACGGUGCUGAAGUAACAAAUGCCCUGCUUCCAGGAAAAGCCUCUAAGCAUCAGGUAACAUCAAAUCGUACCCCAAACCGACACAGGUGGUCAGGUAGAGAAUACCAAGGCGCUUGAGAGAACUCGGGUGAAGGAACUAGGCAAAAUGGUGCCGUAACUUCGGGAGAAGGCACGCUGGUGUGUAGGUGAAGUCCCUGCGGAUGGAGCUGAGACCAGUCGAAGAUACCAGCUGGCUGCAACUGUUUAUUAAAAACACAGCACUGUGCAAACACGAAAGUGGACGUAUACGGUGUGACGCCUGCCCGGUGCCGGAAGGUUAAUUGAUGGGGUUAUCCGUAAGGAGAAGUUCUUGAUCGAAGCCCCGGUAAACGGCGGCCGUAACUAUAACGGUCCUAAGGUAGCGAAAUUCCUUGUCGGGUAAGUUCCGACCUGCACGAAUGGCGUAAUGAUGGCCAGGCUGUCUCCACCCGAGACUCAGUGAAAUUGAACUCGCUGUGAAGAUGCAGUGUACCCGCGGCAAGACGGAAAGACCCCGUGAACCUUUACUAUAGCUUGACACUGAACAUUGAGCCUUGAUGUGUAGGAUAGGUGGGAGGCUUUGAAGCGUGGACGCCAGUCUGCGUGGAGCCAACCUUGAAAUACCACCCUUUAAUGUUUGAUGUUCUAACGUUGGCCCCUUACCGGGGUUGCGGACAGUGUCUGGUGGGUAGUUUGACUGGGGCGGUCUCCUCCCAAAGCGUAACGGAGGAGCACGAAGGUUAGCUAAUCCUGGUCGGACAUCAGGAGGUUAGUGCAAUGGCAUAAGCUAGCUUGACUGCGAGCGUGACGGCGCGAGCAGGUGCGAAAGCAGGUCAUAGUGAUCCGGUGGUUCUGAAUGGAAGGGCCAUCGCUCAACGGAUAAAAGGUACUCCGGGGAUAACAGGCUGAUACCGCCCAAGAGUUCAUAUCGACGGCGGUGUUUGGCACCUCGAUGUCGGCUCAUCACAUCCUGGGGCUGAAGUAGGUCCCAAGGGUAUGGCUGUUCGCCAUUUAAAGUGGUACGCGAGCUGGGUUUAGAACGUCGUGAGACAGUUCGGUCCCUAUCUGCCGUGGGCGCUGGAGAAUUGAGGGGGGCUGCUCCUAGUACGAGAGGACCGGAGUGGACGCAUCACUGGUGUUCGGGUUGUCAUGCCAAUGGCACUGCCCGGUAGCUAAAUGCGGAAGAGAUAAGUGCUGAAAGCAUCUAAGCACGAAACUUGCCCCGAGAUGAGUUCUCCCUGAGACUUUAAGUCUCCUGAAGGAACGUUGAAGACGACGACGUUGAUAGGCCGGGUGUGUAAGCGCAGCGAUGCGUUGAGCUAACCGGUACUAAUGAACCGUGAGGCUUAACCUU